This 378-nucleotide unclassified non-coding RNA is filed under the name uncultured Anaplasmataceae bacterium. RNAcentral describes it as "contains 16S-23S intergenic spacer region". Lineage: Bacteria; Pseudomonadati; Pseudomonadota; Alphaproteobacteria; Rickettsiales; Anaplasmataceae. The record is from RNAcentral.
UCCAGUUUAUCACUGGCAGUUUCCCUAAAGUUCCCAGCAUGACCUGAUGGCAAUUAAGGAUGAGGGUUGCGCUCGUUGCGGGACUUAACCCAACAUCUCACGACACGAGCUGACGACAGCCAUGCAACACCUGUGUGAGAUCCGGCCGAACCGAGGCCACUUCUUCAAGUGGCUGUAAUCUCCAUGUCAAGGAUUGGUAAGGUUUUUCGCGUUGCAUCGAAUUAAACCACAUGCUCCACCGCUUGUGCGGGUCCCCGUCAAUUCCUUUGAGUUUUAAUCUUGCGACCGUAGUCCCCAGGCGGAAUGCUUAACGCGUUAGCUGUAACACAGAAAGUUGCCUCCCUAUAUUUAGCAUUCAUCGUUUACAGCGUGGACUAC